AUAGGAAAUUUGUGGAUCCUGAGAAGCCUUCAAGUAUGUUGCUAACCACUGCUGUCUUUCUAGGUUUUUUUUUUUUAAGCCUCUUCCACAGAUUUAAAACCUGAAAUUCAUUCAGGAGAAAGGAAGGCUGGAUGUUGCCUCUAUACUAUAAAGAGAAGAAGAGGGUGAGAGUCUAGAGUCGAGAAUGCUGGAGAUAGGAAGUUUGUGGAUCCUGAGAAGCCUUCAAGUAUGAUUCUCCAGACUCAGCAUUCACAUUUCUGGGAGAGAGAAACAGAAGCUGCUGUUCAGUCAGGAAUUGAUGCUUCUGACAUUGGCAGCUUGCAGGUGCUCUUCUGUGAGCCUUUAGAAGGAUGCUCAACAUGUGGCAUUGCAAGAACAGUUUCAGCAAACUUUAGGCUGACUCAAUGCCAGAGCAGAGAAAUCACAUUAUAUCCUGAAGGAAAUAAUUCAAGCACCUCACCUGGCAAUUCUGCUGAUAUUUGUUCCUUCUGGAUACACAGCCUUUACUUGGAACUGUCGGCUCUCGCCCAAAUUGUUAGUUAGGAGCUUCCCAAAACACAGCAGGACAACAGACAUGGCUGUCUUCCAAAGAUCAACUGCCAGAAGCUACCAGAAAAAAGGUACCUGCUUGGUUCCUUCCUAAAAUGAGAACAGACUGUGAAGACCAGCUUCCAAACAGCUGUGUAUUGCUGUGGAAAUGAUUACCAAAUUCACAAAAUAAGUAAUAAACCAGCCUAUAUCUCAGCUGUUAGCUUUUUA
This 759-nucleotide long non-coding RNA is filed under the name Chrysolophus pictus (golden pheasant). RNAcentral's name for it is "lncRNA (ENSCPIG00010003639.1)". Lineage: Eukaryota; Metazoa; Chordata; Aves; Galliformes; Phasianidae. The record is from RNAcentral.